This 222-nucleotide ribosomal RNA is filed under the name uncultured bacterium. Its description in RNAcentral is "partial 16S ribosomal RNA". It matches the Rfam family "Bacterial small subunit ribosomal RNA", at positions 112 to 334 of the family's 1533-position model. The record is from RNAcentral.
CGGACGUGGGUAACCUGCCUCAUACAGGGGGAUAGCAGCUGGAAACGGCUGAUAAAACCGCAUAAGCGCACAGCAUCGCAUGAUGCAGUGUGAAAAACUCCGGUGGUAUGAGAUGGACCCGCGUCUGAUUAGCUGGUUGGUGAGGUAACGGCCCACCAAGGCGACGAUCAGUAGCCGACCUGAGAGGGUGACCGGCCACAUUGGGACUGAGACACGGCCCAA